This 418-nucleotide ribosomal RNA is filed under the name uncultured bacterium. Its description in RNAcentral is "bacterial SSU rRNA". It matches the Rfam family "Bacterial small subunit ribosomal RNA", at positions 917 to 1338 of the family's 1533-position model. The record is from RNAcentral.
GGGCCCGCACAAGCGGUGGAGCAUGUGGUUUAAUUCGAUGAUACGCGAGGAACCUUACCAGGGCUUAAAUGCAGGACGACAGGGGUGGAAACACCUCCUUCUUCGGACGUCUUGCAAGGUGCUGCAUGGUUGUCGUCAGCUCGUGCUGUGAAGUGUCGGGCUAAGUCCCAUAACGAGCGCAACCCCUAUUUCUAGUUGCCAGCGGUUCGGCCGGGGACUCUAGAGAAACUGCCAGCGUAAGCUGUGAGGAAGGUGGGGAUGACGUCAAAUCAUCACGGCCCUUACGUCCUGGGCUACACACGUGCUACAAUGGUGAGGACAGAGAGUUGCCAACCCGCGAGGGUGAGCUAAUCUCAUAAACUUCGCCUAAGUUCAGAUUGCAGGCUGCAACUCGCCUGCAUGAAGUUGGAAUCGCUAG